GGGGACGAAUGCAAAGCGGUUCGCGCAGUUGGCUUUUCACGUCAAUCCUAACGGGUUCGAGUCCUGUCGUCCCUGCCA
This 78-nucleotide transfer RNA is filed under the name Pyrinomonadaceae bacterium. Its description in RNAcentral is "tRNA-Glu". It matches the Rfam family "tRNA". From Rfam's summary of the family: Transfer RNA (tRNA) molecules are approximately 80 nucleotides in length. Their secondary structure includes four short double-helical elements and three loops (D, anti-codon, and T loops). Lineage: Bacteria; Pseudomonadati; Acidobacteriota; Blastocatellia; Blastocatellales; Pyrinomonadaceae. The record is from RNAcentral.